This 500-nucleotide ribosomal RNA is filed under the name uncultured bacterium. Its description in RNAcentral is "bacterial SSU rRNA". It matches the Rfam family "Bacterial small subunit ribosomal RNA", at positions 29 to 518 of the family's 1533-position model. The record is from RNAcentral.
AGUGAACGCUGGCGGCAGGCCUAAUACAUGCAAGUCGAACGGCAGCACAGUGGAGCUUGCUCCAUGGGUGGCGAGUGGCGGACGGGUGAGGAAUACAUGGGAAUCUGCCCAGUCGUGGGGGAUAACGUAGGGAAACUUACGCUAAUACCGCAUGCGCCCUUCGGGGGAAAGCCGGGGACCGUAAGGCCUGGCGCGAUUGGAUGAGCCCAUGUCGGAUUAGCUAGUUGGCGGGGUAACGGCCCACCAAGGCGACGAUCCGUAGCUGGUCUGAGAGGAUGAUCAGCCACACUGGAACUGAGACACGGUCCAGACUCCUACGGGAGGCAGCAGUAGGGAAUAUUGGACAAUGGGCGCAAGCCUGAUCCAGCCAUGCCGCGUGAGUGAAGAAGGCCCUCGGGUUGUAAAGCUCUUUUGUCCGGAAGAAAGCACUGGGUUAAUACCCCGGUGUCCUGACGGUACCGGAAGAAUAAGCACCGGCUAACUUCGUGCCAGCAGCCGAC